Long non-coding RNA from Globicephala melas (long-finned pilot whale), 1380 nucleotides. RefSeq lists it as uncharacterized. NCBI's taxonomy places the organism in Eukaryota, Metazoa, Chordata, Mammalia, Artiodactyla, Delphinidae. The record is from RefSeq and is a predicted model, not a curated record.
GUGGUUCGGCUGCCGGGGAACCCAGGUGAGCGGCGCUGAAGGCGGAGGCAGCGGCAAGAGAAAAGAGGGCGGCGGCAGCGGCAAGAGAAGAGAAGGCGGCUGGGCGUGGAGCGGCCUCCUAGGGGAAGGCCUAAAUUCCUUCCUACUGAGGAGAACAUGCAAGACAAUGUGAAUAUGUAACUACAUGAUUUGACCACAACUACAUGACUUGAUCAAAGGUGAAGGAGCAAUGACAGAUCAGCAUCCUCAGGAGCUCUGUUGAGCCUACAGCCUCAAGUUGACUCUUUUUAUAACUCAAAUACAUGCCCUUCAUGACUUCCUUCUGCAAGGAACAAAUCUUCCCAAACUCCUCCCAAGAACUUUCUUCAAGAGUUGCUCGACAUUCACUGAGCACUGAUUUUAAUGCUCUGCCCUCAGAAGACAGAAGUAGAAGACAAAUCAAUGCAGUGAAGUGCUCUCGCUUGGAAAGACAUCCAAAGAACACAAGAGGAGUUCCCAAGGGGUGAGAGGCUCUGUGUGUAUGUGGAUGGUCAGAGGCACAGGGUAUGAAGAAAAGUUUUAUGGAAGAAGUACCACUCGAACGGAACGUUUAUUUAACUUUAAAAAACGUAUUCAUUCCCCAGGUUGAGAGAAACAGGGAAAUAGGACAUUCCAAAUGGAUGGAGUGAUAAAAGGAAAUCAUCAUUUUUUCAGGGGGCUGUGAUUAACUCAACACAAGAACAGAUCCAAGGUGAGAGCAGUCACAGAAAAGGCUAGGGAAGCAGGAGCCGGAUCGUAGAAGUCCUUGUUUUCCCCCUCACUAGGGCAGACUGAAUUUCCUGGCAAGCGGGAAUCACCCCUCCCCCACUCCAGCAGAGUCAUUUUCUUUGGUUGAUUUUCUUUCCAAAGGUCAUAGAGCAAAACAGAGGAAAGACUGAACCUUUGAGGCAGCUUGAGUAUUUCCAGAGUGUUCUGGUGAUGUCAAUGCUGACAAAGCCAGUCAUUCGUUGGCUGAUCAUCACUGAGCACCCAGAGGCUGCAGGACAAUUAUCAGGAGUGACAGUUUUCCUUGAUAAAUGCAUCUGUACUUUGCACAAUUCCCAGUUUCCCUUGCGUGCUCCCAGCAUGCACUACUCCCACAUUGGGCACCGGAGGUUGAAACAAGAUGGCAGCUCCCAGAGGAGUGCCUUCAAUUACCCACAACAAGCAUCUGGGCAUAAGCCCCCAGCAUAGGUGAUUAUGGCCACAGGUUAAUCCAGCAGUUCCUCCUAAUUGAUAGCUUGGAGUAUUGAAGAAGCCAGAAGUGGCCACAACUCCCCAAGUUUUUGGAAAAGCCCAGCUGGCUGAGUGUCAGCUUUCCGUUAGACCAAACCUUGGUGUGUUGUUUAACCACAUCACCCU